ACCAACCUUACCUCACAUCCUGGCUUGCCCUGCUGGGGAAAGGUGGGGUCCGCUGGCCAGACCCUGACAACCUUCCCGAGCCCCGGAGGUUUCAGCCCUACCACGACUCGCUUUUGCAGACCCUCCCUUAGCGGGAGCUUCUGUGAGUCUGAUCUGAUACCUGCCUCAUCUCCAUUGUGAAUUGCUGUAGCUCCACCCCAGGCCUACAGCAUGCAGUCCCAGGAGAGUGGCGUUCACUACAGCAGGUGGGCUACAUCACUGGCUACUACGUGCACAAGUGCAAAUAAAUGCUGGCCCACUCCCA
This 304-nucleotide long non-coding RNA is filed under the name Rattus norvegicus (Norway rat). Its description in RNAcentral is "long non-coding RNA NONRATT023921". The record is from RNAcentral. Lineage: Eukaryota; Metazoa; Chordata; Mammalia; Rodentia; Muridae.